CUUUUACACAUCUGCUGUCUCUGGACAGAUACUCACCAUUCUAAUUACCCUACACUGAUAGGUGGUAUCACUGCUAUUUCCUUCCCUCUUCACAUCUGCUGUCUCUGGACAGAUACUCACCAUUUUAAUUACCCUCCACUGAUAGGUGGUAUCACUGCUGUUUCCUCCCCCUUUUACACAUCUGCUGUCUCUGGACAGAUACUCACCAUUUUAAUUACCCUCCACUGAUAGGUGGUAUCACUGCUAUUUCCUCCCCCUUUUACACAUCUACUGUCUCUGGACAGAUACUCACCAUUUCAAUUCCCCUACACUGAUAGGUGGUAUCACUGCUAUUUCCUCCCCCUUUUACACAUCUGCUGUCUCUGGACAGAUACUCACCAUUUUAAUUACCCUCCACUGAUAGGUGGUAUCACUGCUAUUUCCUCCCCCUUUUAUACAUCUACUGUCUCUGGACAGAUACUCACCAUUUCAAUUACCCUACACUGAUAGGUGGUAUCACUGUUAUUUCCUCCCCCUUUUAUAUAUCAACUGUCUCUGGACAGAUACUCACCAUUCUAUUAUCCUCAACUGAUAGGGUGUAUCACUUCUGUUACCUCCCCUCUUACACAUCUACUGUCUCUGGAUAGAUACUCACCAUUUCAAUUACUCUCCACUGAUGAGUGGUACCACUGCUAUUUCCUCCCCCUAUAACACAUCUGAUGUCUCUGGACAGAUACUCACCAUUAUAAUUACCCUCCACUGAUAGGUGGUAUCACUGCUAUUUCCUCCCCCUUUUACACAUCUGCUGUCUCUGGACAGAUACUCACCAUUUUAAUUACCCUACACUGAUAGGUGGUAUCACUGCUAUUUCCUCCCAUCUUACACAUCUGCUGUCUCUGGACAGAUACUCACCAAUUUAAUUACCAUACACUGAUAGGUGGUAUCACUGCUAUUUCCUUUCCCACUUACACAUCUGUUGUCUCUGAACAAAUACUCACCAUUUCAACUAGAUAUCAUUGAGAUGGGAGCCAUCUCUGUGGGUCCCGCUCUGAAUAAUGUGUGGUAAAAAAUUUGUAUCUUUAUUAUUGGACAUGGGGUUGUCAACUGAAACCAAAGUUUUUGACCUUGACCUUUGACCUAGGAAGUUGUACAUAAAUUAUGACAAACUCUCUGGUGUUGGUUUAUAAACAUGUCAAGUAUAAACUUCGAAAUCAUAACGGUUCUCAAGAUAUAGAGCGGACACGAUCUUUACCAUAGGACAUGGGGUUGUCAACUAAAACCAAAGUUUUUGACCUUGACCUUUGACCUAGGAAGUUGUACAUAAAUUAUGACACACCCUCUGGUGUUGGUUUAUAUACAUGUCAAGUAUAAACUUUGAAAUCAUAAAGGUUCUCAAGAUAUAGAGCGGACACGAUCUUUACCAUAGGACAUUGGGUUGUCAACUAAAACCAAAGUUUUUGACCUUGACCUUUGACCUAGGGAGUUGUACAUAAAUUAUGACACACCCUCUGGUGUUGGUUUAUAUACAUGUCAAGUAAAAACUUUGAAAUCAUAACGGUUCUCAAGAUAUAGAGCGGACACGAUCUUUACCAUAGGACAUUGGGUUGUCAACUAAAACCAAAGUUUUUGACCUUGACCUUUGACCUAGGAAGUUGUUCAAACAUUAUGACACACCCUCUGGUGUUGGUUAAUAUACAUGUCAAGUAUAAACUUUGAAAUCAUAAAGGUUCUUUAGAUAUAGAGCGGACACAAUUUGUUACGGACGGA
This is a long non-coding RNA of Mytilus californianus (California mussel), 1746 nucleotides long. RefSeq lists it as uncharacterized. The transcript is spliced from 7 exons. The record is from RefSeq and is a predicted model, not a curated record. Lineage: Eukaryota; Metazoa; Mollusca; Bivalvia; Mytilida; Mytilidae.